GCCUGCGUGGCUCAGCCGGUUGAGCGUCUGACUUCAGCUCAGGUCAUGAUCUCGUGGUCCGUGGGUUCGAGCCCCACGUCAGGCU
RNAcentral lists this transfer RNA (85 nucleotides) under Felis catus (domestic cat). It matches the Rfam family "tRNA". From Rfam's summary of the family: Transfer RNA (tRNA) molecules are approximately 80 nucleotides in length. Their secondary structure includes four short double-helical elements and three loops (D, anti-codon, and T loops). Further hydrogen bonds mediate the characteristic L-shaped molecular structure. tRNAs have two regions of fundamental functional importance: the anti-codon, which is responsible for specific mRNA codon recognition, and the 3' end, to which the tRNAs corresponding amino acid is attached (by aminoacyl-tRNA synthetases). tRNAs cope with the degeneracy of the genetic code in two manners: having more than one tRNA (with a specific anti-codon) for a particular amino acid; and 'wobble' base-pairing, i.e. permitting non-standard base-pairing at the 3rd anti-codon position. Lineage: Eukaryota; Metazoa; Chordata; Mammalia; Carnivora; Felidae. The record is from Rfam by way of RNAcentral.